Cottoperca gobio is the source of this 1701-nucleotide long non-coding RNA. Ensembl annotates it as hemicentin-2-like. NCBI's taxonomy places the organism in Eukaryota, Metazoa, Chordata, Actinopteri, Perciformes, Bovichtidae. The record is from Ensembl.
AUGCUUCGUUAUGUCGCACAAACAGUCCAGCUCACAUCCACACUUUUCAUCCCAGAGAUCUGUGAACCGGUGAAGGGUGCAAAGAUUGUCGUCCCUUCAGGCCAAGUGGAGUUUUUUGAGGGGAAGACACUGGAGCUACGCUGUAAACCUACUGUUGGAAAUCAUGUCUCCUACUCGUGGAUGCUGAAUGGUCAGCUUGUCUCUCAAUCUCGUCUCCUCUAUGUUGCAGAUGACUAUCUCUUGAUCAAGAGAACUACUUCUCAAGAUAGCGGCUCCUACAUGUGUGUCGCCACCAACGAAUUCAACAAAACAGACGUCUUUACCGCCAACAGCUCUGAAGUUGUAAUCACAGUGAAAGACCUGGUGUCUAUCCCUGACAUCUCCUUUACCGUGUUAAAGGAAGAUUCCCACAACUAUUCAGCCAUGGUCGCCUGUCAGACAACCAAAGGGACUCCACCUGUCACCUUUUCACUGUACAACAGGAGAGGAUCGGUUGACAAUGUGACGGUUGAUAAGAGAGAUGUCACAUUUAAGGUUCCAAUGGUCUUGGGCCGGCACUUGGGAUGGCUCCAGUGCCAGGCAAACAAUGGAGAUGGGAUCGAGUACAGUCAAUGGAUUUCCUUAGAAGUUGUUCCUGUUGGUGGGCCUGUGACGAUGCGUUACGACUAUGACAUUGGAGAAAACUAUGCCGUGAUCAGCCUGAGGUUCUACUGCAAGGCAGCGAAGGGAUCUCUCCCACGGUACCAAUGGUUCCUCAACAAAACCCUCCUGCAUGACCGAGGAAGCUUCUACUACGUGGUCAACCAGCCUCCAGAAGAGUCUGUACUCAUCCUGUCUGUAGGGAGGAGCAGCACUGGAUCGUACCACUGUGAAGUGUCGGACAGCUUUGACAACACCACCGCCAUAAGCAGCAAGAUGCUGUAUUUGGAUAAAGAAGAGCUGAAUCGUCUCCGCUCCUUGGUGGUGGUAGUUGUCUUUGGAUGUUUCACAUUCCUGGUUCUUCUGGUCUCCAUUUGUUUGUGCAUUGGAGCGAAGUCCAGUCAAAGGCAGCUUGGAGAGAAGUCUCUGUUGAGCUUGGAGAUGGAGGGAAUGGUGGCUUCAAAUGAGGAUGAGCUGGAUUUCUCAGAGUACGAUGAGGAUGCUGAUGUAGUGAAGAUGGCCAGAGGUGGUGAAUUUGAUCAGGCAUCUGAAGUCUCUGUAGAUGAAUGGCCCCAAAUUGAAGAAGUGAAGAAAAUGUUGGAGGAUGAACCAGUUGAGGGACCCUGAGGGUUCAAACUGUUAUAAACACAGGCUGUGGUUGUUUAAUAAACAUUGGCUCAAGAUGUUCUGUGCUGUCACGUUUUUUCAGAAUAAUGAAUUAUUAUUCUUUCUAAAGUAUGUGUGCUGGUAGUAGUAAUAGCAGUCACUAUGGAAGCCCAUAGUAAAAGGAAAAAAAAAUCAAACAAGAUGAAAACUUAGCCUUGUGAUAAAAAAAAGUAAUUAUAAUACCAAACAUUCUCAGAAUAUUUGAGUUAGUAUCUCAAAAUACUGAGUUAGUAUGUCAGAAUAAUGAGUUAGUAUCUCAUAAAUAAUGAGUUAGUAUCUCAAAAUAAUGAAUUAGUAUCUCAGAAUAGUGACUUAGUAUCUCAGAAUAAUGACUUAGUAUCUCAGAAUAAUGACUUAGUAUCUCAGAAUAAUGAGUUAGUAUCUCAGAAUAAUGAG